AAUGAGAUGCCUGAAAAAAAGGGUUAUUUUGAUAGAAUAAAUUAUGUGUCAAUCACUUUCAUUA
This 64-nucleotide transfer RNA is filed under the name Staphylinidae sp. BMNH 1274706. RNAcentral's name for it is "tRNA-Ile". Lineage: Eukaryota; Metazoa; Arthropoda; Insecta; Coleoptera; Staphylinidae. The record is from RNAcentral.